This 253-nucleotide ribosomal RNA is filed under the name uncultured bacterium. RNAcentral describes it as "partial 16S ribosomal RNA". It matches the Rfam family "Bacterial small subunit ribosomal RNA", at positions 524 to 776 of the family's 1533-position model. The record is from RNAcentral.
UACGGGGGGGGCAAGCGUUGUUCGGAAUUACUGGGCGUAAAGGGCUCGUAGGUGGCCAACUAAGUCGGACGUGAAAUCCCUCAGCUUAACUGGGGAACUGCGUCCGAUACUGGAUGGCUUGAGUUUGGGAGAGGGAUGCGGAAUUCCAGGUGUAGCGGUGAAAUGCGCAGAUAUCUGGAGGAACACCGGUGGCGAAGGCGGCAUCCUGGACCAACACUGACACUGAGGAGCGAAAGCCAGGGGAGCAAACGGG